Sapajus apella (tufted capuchin) is the source of this 1187-nucleotide RNA transcript. RefSeq lists it as uncharacterized. The transcript has a single exon. The record is from RefSeq and is a predicted model, not a curated record. NCBI's taxonomy places the organism in Eukaryota, Metazoa, Chordata, Mammalia, Primates, Cebidae.
AAUAAGGAGAAUUCUUUCAUAUGGAAAGAGCUAGUACAAUCACAUAUUUGAAAGGAGAAACAAUAGGUACUGAACCGGAGGGAAAGGGCGAGGGUGUGCCAGCACCGGCCUGGUGAAUCCACAAUUCCAUUUCCUACCCAAGGUAAGUUUCCCGAAAUAAUGUAUAAACAAGCUGCACAUUACACCUCUAGCCAUCGUCUGCCCUUUCAAAUAUCUGGUCUACAUGAAAAGACAAAGAGGAAAGGCCAAAACAUAAACAAAAGGAAACAAAAACAAAACGCAACCCUCUUAAGAACCAAACAAAAAACCCCCAAAUCCUUUUUUACUACACAAGGCAUGAGGUCAAAAGCUUGAGGACAGCGUCCCCUUUAGACCAUGGGAGAAAGGCGUCCACACAGAACCUUGUCAGGAAUUCCCAUUCCGAGGCUUCAGAACAUGCUGAAGAUGGGGCUCGGGGGUGCCACGACCAUCCUGGAGGCCACCAACUGGGGUGAACUGGUGAACAGCAGGUCUCAAGUGCCUGAAUAUCACCAGCCCAACAGGCACUGGUGGCCCUGGUAGAGCAUGGCUGGGCCAGUGUCCAUCCCCAACAAUGAGCCACUCCUGUCCUGGAUGACUUCCUGUGUAGGUCCGUCACAUUUCGGACGAGAGCUGGCUUUCUGGAAGCCUACAUUCCCAUUCACGACAGAGCACACAUACCCUGGUAUCCUUGGUCUUCAAAGGCCAUUUCCAACAGACCCUCUAACUCAGGCCUGCUCUGCAGGAAGUGAAAAGGGACAAAUAAAGAUCUGAGGGGCAGCCUGCAGUUACUUGGCAGAGGGGAACCAAUGGCAGGGAGGAGCUCCACCACAGCUGCCACACUGCCGCAGCAGGCCAGGCCACAGCACAGCCCUGCACCUGUGUGCGCCCAGCUUCCAGAAGGUGUCACUGACUGUCCUGAAGGCAGAUCCAGAAGACAGGAGGGCGACAGCAUAGCUGGAGAGCACUGAUGUCAACGUUUAACAAGGUACCCCAGGGUCCCUAAAAGUGGCUGGAAGGACCAUGGCUUUGGAACUGAACCGAUUUUCUUGAAUGUGAAAUAAUAAAGUUAUCCUUUGUUUUUUCCCUUAAGGAACCUAGAGCUAUAGUGUUUAUGAAUUCCAAGUUUAAAAACAAUACGAAUGUUUAAAAAAAAAAAAAAAAAAAAA